GGGGAAUCUUGCGCAAUGGGCGAAAGCCUGACGCAGCGACGCCGCGUGAGUGAUGAAGGCCCUCGGGUUGUAAAGCUCUGUGGAGGGGGAAGAAUAAGGGUGACCUAAUACGUCAUCCGAUGACGGUACCCCUUUAGCAAGCACCGGCUAACUCUGUGCCAGCAGCCGCGGUAAGACAGAGGGUGCAAACGUUGUUCGGAAUUACUGGGCGUAAAGCGCGUGUAGGCGGCUUGGCAAGUCGGGUGUGAAAGCCCUGGGCUCAACCUAGGAAGUGCACUCGAAACUGCUUCGCUUGAGUAUCGGAGAGGAAAGCGGAAUUCUCGGUGUAGAGGUGAAAUUCGUAGAUAUCGAGAGGAACACCGGUGGCGAAGGCGGCUUUCUGGACGGUUACUGACGCUGAGACGCGAAAGCGUGGGGAGCAAAC
Molecule: ribosomal RNA, 424 nt
Filed under: uncultured bacterium
Lineage: Bacteria
Description: bacterial SSU rRNA
Rfam family: Bacterial small subunit ribosomal RNA
Source: RNAcentral